This 953-nucleotide ribosomal RNA is filed under the name uncultured alga. Its description in RNAcentral is "bacterial SSU rRNA". It matches the Rfam family "Bacterial small subunit ribosomal RNA", at positions 52 to 1058 of the family's 1533-position model. The record is from RNAcentral.
UACAUGCAAAUCGUGCACUGUCUAUGUUUUACAUAGAUAACAGGUUUAUGGGUGAGUAAUAUGUAAGAACCAACCUUUAGGCGGGGGAAUACCUCAUAAGCUGUGGAGUAAAAGAACUUUUUCACCUAAAGACGGGCUUACACCUGAUUAGCUUGAUGGUGAGGUAAUAGCUUACCAUGGCUACAAUCAGUAACUGGUCUGAGAGGAUGUACAGUCACAUUGGGACUGAGAUACGGCCCAGACGACUACGUGUUGGCAGCAGUAAUGAAUCUUCCGCAAUGGGGGAAACCCUGACGGAGCGAGUCGUCGUGAAGGAUGAAGGUUUACGGAUUGUAAACUUCUUUUGCUACAUUUAAAUUUUUAAUUUAUUAGCCACUGGCGUGUAGAGAAUAAGCAUCAGCAAAUUUCGUGCCAGCAGCCGCGGUUAUACGGGAGAUGCAAAGAUUAUCUGGAAUUAUUGGGUGUAAAGAGUCUUAAGAUGGUGGAGUAUGUCUAUGGUGAAAUGUCAAAGCUUAACUUUGAAACAGCUGUAGAAACUACUCAACUUGAGUUCGAUAGAGGUAAAGGGAAUUCUCGGUGGAGCGGUGAAAUGCAUAGAUAUCGAGAGGAACACCGAAGGCGUAGGCACUUUACUGGGUCGAAACUGACAUUGUAAGACGAAAGCUAAGGGAGCAAAAGGGAUUAGAGACCCCUGUAGUCUUAGCCGUAAAUGAUGGGUACUGUGUAUUGGUUAGAAAUCAGUACGUAAGCUAACGCUAAGUACCCCACCUGGGGAUUACGUCCGCAAGGAUAAAACUUAAAGAAAUAGGCGGGGGGAUAAACAAGCAGUGGAUAGUGUGGUUUAAUUCGCUGCUACGCGCAGAACCUUACCAGCGUUUGACAUCCCUGUUAUAUCAUUAUGUAGUAGUAAUGAUUUAAAGCAGGAGACAGGUAAUGCAUGGUUGUCGAUGCAG